GUGGACUGUUCAGCAGGAGCAAGCUGAGCCAUAAGAGUGGGCUACUCAGCUAGAGCAGGCUGGGCCACGGGAGCAGGCUGGGCCAUGAGAGUGGGCUACUCGGCGAGAGCAAGCUGGGCCACGAGAGUGGGCUGCUCGACAGGAAUAGGUUACUCAGAGUGUGAUGCACAUGGGUGCGAGGCUUGGGCUCGGCUUGGCAACGCGUUGAGUUCGCGUUGGGCUUGGAGUGACAUGGUUUAGGCCAUGGCCUUGGUGCCGUGAGCCUUGGAUGGCACGGCU
Molecule: long non-coding RNA, 279 nt
Filed under: Malus domestica (apple)
Lineage: Eukaryota; Viridiplantae; Streptophyta; Magnoliopsida; Rosales; Rosaceae
Description: long non-coding RNA (MDOM_LNC013945)
Source: RNAcentral